GAGUAAUGUCUGGGAAACUGCCUGAUGGAGGGGGAUAACUACUGGAAACGGUGGCUAAUACCGCAUAACGUCGCAAGACCAAAGAGGGGGACCUUCGGGCCUCUUGCCAUCAGAUGUGCCCAGAUGGGAUUAGCUUGUUGGUGAGGUAACGGCUCACCAAGGCGACGAUCCCUAGCUGGUCUGAGAGGAUGACCAGCCACACUGGAACUGAGACACGGUCCAGACUCCUACGGGAGGCAGCAGUGGGGAAUAUUGCACAAUGGGCGCAAGCCUGAUGCAGCCAUGCCGCGUGUAUGAAGAAGGCCUUCGGGUUGUAAAGUACUUUCAGCGGGGAGGAAGGUGUUGUGGUUAAUAACCGCAGCAAUUGACGUUACCCGCAGAAGAAGCACCGGCUAACUCCGUGCCAGCAGCCGCGGUAAUACGGAGGGUGCAAGCGUUAAUCGGAAUUACUGGGCGUAAAGCGCACGCAGGCGGUCUGUCAAGUCGGAUGUGAAAUCCCCGGGCUCAACCUGGGAACUGCAUUCGAAACUGGCAGGCUUGAGUCUUGUAGAGGGGGGUAGAAUUCCAGGUGUAGCGGUGAAAUGCGUAGAGAUCUGGAGGAAUACCGGUGGCGAAGGCGGCCCCCUGGACAAAGACUGACGCUCAGGUGCGAAAGCGUGGGGAGCAAACAGGAUUAGAUACCCUGGUAGUCCACGCCGUAAACGAUGUCUACUUGGAGGUUGUGCCCUUGAGGCGUGGCUUCCGGAGCUAACGCGUUAAGUAGACCGCCUGGGGAGUACGGCCGCAAGGUUAAAACUCAAAUGAAUUGACGGGGGCCCGCACAAGCGGUGGAGCAUGUGGUUUAAUUCGAUGCAACGCGAAGAACCUUACCUGGUCUUGACAUCCACAGAACUUUCCAGAGAUGGAUUGGUGCCUUCGGGAACUGUGAGACAGGUGCUGCAUGGCUGUCGUCAGCUCGUGUUGUGAAAUGUUGGGUUAAGUCCCGCAACGAGCGCAACCCUUAUCCUUUGUUGCCAGCGAUUCGGUCGGG
This 1030-nucleotide ribosomal RNA is filed under the name Salmonella enterica subsp. enterica serovar Montevideo str. FSL_R8-4916. Its description in RNAcentral is "bacterial SSU rRNA". It matches the Rfam family "Bacterial small subunit ribosomal RNA", at positions 108 to 1135 of the family's 1533-position model. The record is from RNAcentral. Lineage: Bacteria; Pseudomonadati; Pseudomonadota; Gammaproteobacteria; Enterobacterales; Enterobacteriaceae.